GUGCUUUAGGACACCGGCACUGCUCUUGCAGCAUCACCAGACGCAGGUCUCGCACAUCAGCCGCAGGCAGUUCCGAGCAGAGACCUUGGCGGUGCUGGGUCCUUACUAUUUCCAGCCACAAGGAAAUGUUUAAAAAGCAGCCUGUCCUGAUUUGCUAUGACACGAGCUUUGCAGGGGUCAUGCAGCCCGGGAAGAGUGAUCAAAACAGCAGACAAGGAUGUUUUUAGAACAAAACCAGGAGCUGGGUGGUUACAUGCUAGCACCUGACCCCUAGCUGACAAGUCCCUAGGACCCGAAGGCGAAAAGACCCGGAUGUUCUGCCAGUUCACAGCCCAUGUCUUCACUCUUCCUCUCCUAUCCACGCGUGUGACCAGCACUGCUGCCGCCCCACUGCCUGAAACGCUCAUGUAUGCCAUCAUCUCCUCGUAGUGCAGCAAGUGGGCAUCCUGCUCUGGGGGCUGACACGGGCUAAGCGGCAUCUUCUUCCUUACAGAGAAGCACAACCCCAUCAGCUAUGAUUUUAAAAUACCUGGUGAUGAAAAUUCAUCCCAGUACCUAGACAAAAGCUCCUGUUUUGUGGAUGGAAACCACAAGCAGAGGCAUGGACAGACUGCUGGCACUGCUAACGCCCACAGCAACCACUGCUAAAUGCCACAGAAACCAGCCGUCAAAGCCCUAAGGUUUCUUGAAAUGUAGUCCUUGCUCGAAAACUGUCCUCUCUUCAGCAAGAAACACUGCUUAGAUCCUUCUGUUUAGUUUCACCAGUAUAAACUGUGAAGAUAAAGCAUAUUCAUUUAGUACUGUAAGGACUGAUUAAUAAACAUGGGCAAAAAACCAACAGCAACUUCAUUUCACCAGAAAACACAGAUUCAAGUCAACUGGCAUUCUUCGCAAUACUAUAAGGACUUUUUUUUUCCAGUAAGCUUUUUUCAGUUAAAAAGA
Molecule: long non-coding RNA, 942 nt
Organism: Cygnus olor (mute swan)
Lineage: Eukaryota; Metazoa; Chordata; Aves; Anseriformes; Anatidae
Exons: 4
Source: RefSeq, a predicted model, not a curated record